GAUGAACGCUGGCGGCGUGCCUAAUACAUGCAAGUCGAACGCUGAAGCGAGGAGCUUGCUCUUCUUGGAUGAGGUGCGAACGGGUGAGUAACGCGUAGGUAACCUGCCUGGUAGAGGGGGAGAACUCAUGGAAACGAUAGCUAAUACCGCAUAACAAUGGCUGACACAUGUUUCUUAUUUGAAAGGGGCAAUUGCUACAACACAAGAUGGACUUGCGUUGGAUUAGCUAGUAGGUGAGGUAAUGGAUCGCCUAGGCUAAGGUACAGUGCCGACCUGGGAGGGUUGUCGGGCACGCCUGGACUGAAGCACGGCCCAACCUCCCACGGGAGGCGGCCGUAAGGAAUCUUCGGCAAUGGGGGGAAGCCUGGCCGAGCAACGGCGCGAGGGUGAAGAAGGUUUUCUGAUCGUGAAACGCUGUUGAAUGUCGAGAACAAGUGUGAGAGGGGAAGGGUCACACUGUGACGGUAGCUUAGCAGAAAGCCACGGCUAACUACGUG
Molecule: ribosomal RNA, 497 nt
Filed under: uncultured bacterium
Lineage: Bacteria
Description: partial 16S ribosomal RNA
Rfam family: Bacterial small subunit ribosomal RNA
Source: RNAcentral